Molecule: ribosomal RNA, 507 nt
Filed under: uncultured bacterium
Lineage: Bacteria
Description: bacterial SSU rRNA
Rfam family: Bacterial small subunit ribosomal RNA
Source: RNAcentral
GACGAACGCUGGCGGCAGGCCUAACACAUGCAAGUCGAGCGGUAACACAGGGAGCUUGCUCCUGGGUGACGAGCGGCGGACGGGUGAGUAAUGUCUGGGAAACUGCCCGAUGGAGGGGGAUAACUACUGGAAACGGUAGCUAAUACCGCAUAACGUCGCAAGACCAAAGAGGGGGACCUUCGGGCCUCUUGCCAUCGGAUGUGCCCAGAUGGGAUUAGCUAGUAGGUGGGGUAACGGCUCACCUAGGCGACGAUCCCUAGCUGGUCUGAGAGGAUGACCAGCCACACUGGAACUGAGACACGGUCCAGACUCCUACGGGAGGCAGCAGUGGGGAAUAUUGCACAAUGGGCGCAAGCCUGAUGCAGCCAUGCCGCGUGUAUGAAGAAGGCCUUCGGGUUGUAAAGUACUUUCAGCGAGGAGGAAGGCAUUGUGGUUAAUAACCACAGUGAUUGACGUUACUCGCAGAAGAAGCACCGGCUAACUCCGUGCCAGCAGCCGCAGUAACAC